This 486-nucleotide ribosomal RNA is filed under the name uncultured bacterium. Its description in RNAcentral is "bacterial SSU rRNA". It matches the Rfam family "Bacterial small subunit ribosomal RNA", at positions 28 to 507 of the family's 1533-position model. The record is from RNAcentral.
GAUGAACGCUAGCUACAGGCUUAACACAUGCAAGUCGAGGGGCAGCGCAGUGUAGCAAUACAUGGGCGGCGACCGGCGCACGGGUGCGUAACGCGUAUCCAACUUUCCCGUUACUCAGGGAUAGCCUUCCGAAAGGGAGAUUAAUACCUGAUGGUGUUCAAAUUCCGCAUGUUAUUUGAACUAAAGAUUUAUCGGUAACGGAUGGGGAUGCGUGACAUUAGAUAGUAGGCGGGGUAACGGCCCACCUAGUCUACGAUGUCUAGGGGUUCUGAGAGGAAGGUCCCCCACACUGGAACUGAGUCACGGUCCAGACUCCUACGGGAGGCAGCAGUGAGGAAUAUUGGUCAAUGGUCGGAAGACUGAACCAGCCAAGUAGCGUGAAGGAUGAAGGUUCUAUGGAUUGUAAACUUCUUUUGUCUGAGGGUAAAAAAGCGGACGUGUCCGUUCUUGCAAGUAUCAGACGAAUAAGCAUCGGCUAACUCCGUG